RNAcentral lists this ribosomal RNA (447 nucleotides) under uncultured bacterium. Its description in RNAcentral is "bacterial SSU rRNA". It matches the Rfam family "Bacterial small subunit ribosomal RNA", at positions 328 to 793 of the family's 1533-position model. The record is from RNAcentral.
CUCUAUCACUCCUACGGGAGCAGCAGUGGGAAUCUUGCGCAAUGGGCGAAAGCCUGACGCAGCCAUGCCGCGUGAAUGAUGAAGGUCUUAGGAUUGUAAAAUUCUUUCACCGGGGACGAUAAUGACGGUACCCGGAGAAGAAGCCCCGGCUAACUUCGUGCCAGCAGCCGCGGUAAUACGAAGGGGGCUAGCGUUGCUCGGAAUUACUGGGCGUAAAGGGAGCGUAGGCGGACAUUUAAGUCAGGGGUGAAAUACCCGGGGCUCAACCUCGGAAUUGCCUUUGAUACUGGGUGUCUUGAGUGUGAGAGAGGUAUGUGGAACUCCGAGUGUAGAGGUGAAAUUCGUAGAUAUUCGGAAGAACACCAGUGGCGAAGGCGACAUACUGGCUCAUUACUGACGCUGAGGCUCGAAAGCGUGGGGAGCAAACAGGAUUAGAUACCCUGGUAG